This 274-nucleotide ribosomal RNA is filed under the name uncultured bacterium. Its description in RNAcentral is "partial 16S ribosomal RNA". It matches the Rfam family "Bacterial small subunit ribosomal RNA", at positions 523 to 796 of the family's 1533-position model. The record is from RNAcentral.
AUACGGAGGGUGCAAGCGUUACUCGGAAUCACUGGGCGUAAAGCGCGCGCAGGCGGUCUUUUAAGUUGGAUGUGAAAGCCUACGGCUCAACCGUAGAACUGCAUCCAAAACUAUUAGACUAGAGUGUGGGAGAGGAAGAUGGAAUUAGUUGUGUAGGGGUAAAAUCCGUAGAGAUAACUAGGAAUACCAAAAGCGAAGGCAAUCUUCUGGAACACUACUGACGCUGAGGCGCGAAAGCGUGGAGAGCAAACAGGAUUAGAUACCCUAGUAGUCC